CCAGCACCCGGAAAAAUGGGAUUUUUCAUCCUUCUAAUUUUCGCUGUAGCAGCUUUGGAAGGUGCCUGGUCCCAGGCGCUGGUGGAGUCCGGAGGGGAUGUGAAAAAGCCCGGAGACUCUCUCCGUCUCUCCUGCAAAGCCUCCGGGUUCACCUUCAGCAGCUAUGCCAUGAGUUGGGUCCGACAGGCUCCCGGGAAGGGACUGGAAUGGGUCACUGCUAUAAGCUCCGGUGGGAGUACAUAUUACCCUGAUUCAGUGAAAGGCCGAUUCACCAUCUCCAGGGAUAAUUCCAAGAGUGAGCUGUAUCUGCAAAUGACCGGCUUGAAGCUCGAGGACACCGCCCGCUAUUACUGUGCGAGACACAGUGAGGGGAAGCUGGUCUGA
Malaclemys terrapin pileata is the source of this 384-nucleotide non-coding RNA. NCBI's taxonomy places the organism in Eukaryota, Metazoa, Chordata, Testudines, Emydidae. The record is from the annotation of a RefSeq genome assembly.